GACGAACGCUGGCGGCGUGCCUAACACAUGCAAGUCGAACGGAGAUACUUGUAGCAAUAUGGGUAUCUUAGUGGCGGACGGGUGAGUAACGCGUGAGCAACCUGCCCUUCGGAGGGGGACAACAGCUGGAAACGGCUGCUAAUACCGCAUGAUAUAUAUUAACGGCAUCGUUGAUAUAUCAAAGAUUUAUCGCCGAAGGAUGGGCUCGGGUGUGAUUAGCUAGUUGGUGAGGUAAUGGCUAACCAAGGCUGCGAUCAGUAGACGUACUGAGAGGUUGAACGGCAACAUUGGGGCUGAGAUACGGCCCAGACUCCGACUAGAGGCAGCAGUGGGGAAUAUUGUGCAAUGGGGGCAACCCUGACCCCGCAACGCCGCGUGAAGGAAGAAGGCUUUCGGGGUGUAAACUUCUUUGACGAGGGACGAAACAAAUGACGGUACCUCGAAAACAAGCCACGGCUAACUACGUGCCAGCCGCCGCGGUAA
Molecule: ribosomal RNA, 483 nt
Filed under: uncultured bacterium
Lineage: Bacteria
Description: partial 16S ribosomal RNA
Rfam family: Bacterial small subunit ribosomal RNA
Source: RNAcentral